Molecule: non-coding RNA, 93 nt
Organism: Mycena leptocephala
Lineage: Eukaryota; Fungi; Basidiomycota; Agaricomycetes; Agaricales; Mycenaceae
Source: the annotation of a GenBank genome assembly
UCGGAUGUGGUGCAUGGUGCACACCUGCUCGCAAUAAAGAACAAGUGCUCUGCCAAUAAGCAGGAGAACUGGGUUCGAUUCCCGGCGUCCGAA